GGGGGAAGUUACCCUCAUACUGUUCUUGUGAUAGUGAGUUCUCAUGAGAGUGGAUGGUUUUCUUAAGGGCUUUUCCCCUUUAGGCUCUGCCCUUCUUCUUCCUGCCACCAUGUGAAGAAGGACAUGUUUGCUUCCCCUUCUGCUGUAAUUGUAAGUUUCUUGAGGCCUCCCAGCCAUGCUGAACUGUGAGUCAAACCUCUUUCCCUUAUAAAUUACCCAGUCUCAGGUACGUCUGUAUUGGCAAUGUGAGAACAGACUAAUACAAUGUGUUAUCUAUUCUCAUUGAGAAUCUCAUUCUUGGUACACUUUGCAUGCUUAUCUAUUUUACACAUAUUUUUCUUGCUAUCUCACUAUCUUGAGUCAUAAAAGUGUGCAUAAUGAGAAUAAUUACUUUUAAGCUUGUGUGUCCUUCAUUUCACAGUACAUUUAAAAUAUCCAGUCUGUAAAAGGUUCAGAGUAACUUCCCUUUUUUCCUGAAAUAACUACCAAUUCAACAAGGUGUUUAUUGGUGGCAGCAUGGUCCAUUAACACAAUCCCUCAGGACUUGCACUACUAUGAUGAACAGAUUCUGCUAUGGAAGUAACAUCCCUGGCAAUAAAAAUAUACUCUCUUUUCAGAGCCAUUACCUUCAGCAAUUAAAUCUCCUAAAAGUGGAAAACAUAUUCUUGAAAAUUGCUGAGAGUAGAUUUUGUGUUCUCACCACAAAAAAAGGAUAAGUGUGUGAGGUAAUGUAUAUGUUUAUUAGCUUGAUUUAGCCAUUUUACACAUCUUUCAAAACAGUCUGUACACAAUAGGUAUAGGUAAUUUCAUUUGACAACUAAAUAUAUUAUUAAAGUAGAAAACAUUUUUAAGUCUUUUCACUAGGUCAUCUCAUUGGAAAAUAAUAUUUGUCUUUCUAUGCCUGGCUUAUUCCACUUAGCAUAGUGUAUCUCAAGUUCAUCAUACUGUAUGACCUCACUUAUAUGUGAAAUCUAAAAAUGUGCAACUUAUAAAAGCAGUGUGGAAUGGUUGUUGUCGGGAACUGGAGGUCGGAGAAAUGGGGAAAUGUUUGUUGAAGGCUAUAAACUUUCAGUUAUAAAAUGAAUAAGUUCUGAAGACCUAAUGUGUAGCAUGGUGAAUAUAGUUAAGAAUACUGUUACUUAAAAUAUGCUAAGAGAGUAGAUCUCACAUGUCUUCACCAUAGACAUACACACAUACAAAAAUAGUAACUGUGUGUGGUGUUGGAUAUGUUAAUUAAUUUGUUUGGGAUAAUCAUUUCACAAUGUAUACAUUGUAUACAUACAUCAAAUCAUCAUGUUGUACACCUUGAAUAUAAACCGUUUUUGUCAAUUAUACCUCACUAAAAUUGGAGAAAAAUGAAGUGUAAAUAAGGCAGUGACAGUGGGAUAUUUUUGCUUCCUUACAAAUAACUUUCUAAUCUGACUUGCACUUUGAAGUUAGGUUGUUCCACCAAAGUAAUUUUGUUCUUUUAAGAAUUCCCUAAUAUUAACAUUUUCAGUUUUAAAAUGCUUGUUUUGUAAUUUUAAAACCUCAUUUAUUACUUCUGUUGAUAAUACUGUAUAAAACUGCAUGUCUCACCAUAGCUGCCAUCAGUAAAAAUUAAACUUCUUCAGGUUAACUGCUGAGAGGUCACAAAAGUAAAGAUUUGAUAGAAUACAAAGAGAAAGUUAAAGGAGAAAUUAUGGGAAAACAUAAGGUUGUGGCAUGAUGGCCACCUGCGGUGCAAUGGACAGAGACAAAACCUAGAUUCUUUCCAAGAUGAAAUUUAACAAACGAUAUAGCCCCUCACCCUUACACCCACAACACAUACACACACACACACACACACACACACACACACACACACAGAUACAUACACACACACACAGUGCUGUAAUCAAUAUGGUCUACAAAAUAAAAGUGGGCAAAAAAUAAACUAUUUUUCAAAGAGAAGACAUAACAAAACCUAUGUAUUUGACUUUUUAGUACUGAGAAGGGGGAGAAAAGAAAUACAUUCACCUUGAGAUGUGUAAUACCUAGUGGACCAUAUAUGAUUUUUGUAGUCCAAAAUUUCUAGACUUUGUAGAAAAAAAUGUACAUACCCAGAAAAAUCUAAAUAAACCCAAACUUAUAAAAAUACAAUUAUUUUCAAGGUGAAAAUUUAAUUGCAGUUCUCUAAAGCAAUACUCUUGAAUAACUAAUGGCUACAAAGACAAAUCCUCUCUGAAAGAAUGUAACUUAACUCUUGUAUCACAGUAAUUCCAAAAAUUCCAAGAAAACAAGUUAUGUAAAAUAAAAAACAAAAUCAUAAACCAUGUAGAAUAAUGUACCAAAAAUGAAGGUCAGGGCAAAAAAAAAGGCAAUAAGUUGAGUCAAAAUUGUUAGACACUAAAAUAAUCAGAUAUAGAGUACAAAGUACAUAUAUUUAAUACAUAUAAAGAUAACAGAACAUAAUAUAAGCUAAGAAGAGAAUUCUACAUGAAAAGUGGUAAAAUACUUUGGGGGAAGAAACCCAAUUUAGAAAAGAAAAUAUAAUGAUUCGAUAAUCAUUCAAUUGGUGGAUCAUACAGUCGAAAUUAAAACGUGUAAUAACAUUCUAUGUUGUUAAAAGCAUGUAAUUGAGGGAUUGGAAUAUACAUAAGAAAAGGGACAAUGGUAACUAGGAAACUGGUGGGCUAAAGCUGAAGGGGGGAUGAUGUCGAGAUCUGAAGAAAUUAUCUUUUAUGCCACUCAGAGAGAGGAAAAAAAGAGAAGACAAUAUGAAUAAUAAUAUGAAAAAGAGAUGGUGAAAUGAAAGUUAGAAUGGGAAGAUGUAAUAUAUAAUUUAUUGAAGUUGUAUACAAACAAAAGUAAGAAUGGGAAAGCAGAAAUAUCUAAUGAGAUAAUAGAUAAGAAUUUGACAAGAUUAUUCAAAGAUGUCAUAGACCUAAGAAUUUUAUCAAAACUUAUAGGAUAAGCAAAUAUCCUAUAAGUUGUUUAAAAUAUAGAUACAUCAUUGAAACUAAAUACUAUAAAGAGAAUAAGAUAUUAAAAUCAGUUAAAGUGGGAACAAUGAUCUACAAUGGGUUUACAAUUAAAAUUAUAACACAUUUUUUAAUAGCACAAUAGAGGCCAGAAGACAAAAAAUAAUGUUUGAAGUUCUAAGAGAAAAUGGUCUCCAAUUUUCAAUUUUAUAGAGGGCUAAAUUAUCCUAUCUGGUCUGGUGCAGUGGUUCACGCCUGUGGUCUCAGCACUUUGGGAGGCCAAGGCAAGCAGAUCAUUUGAGGUCAGGAGUUCAAGACCAGCCUGGCCAACAUGAUGAACACUGUUUACUAAAAAUACAAUAAAUAGCCCCCUGUAGUGAUAUGUGCCUGUAGUUCCAGGUACCUGG
This 3349-nucleotide long non-coding RNA is filed under the name Homo sapiens (human). RNAcentral's name for it is "HSALNT0202459". The record is from RNAcentral. Lineage: Eukaryota; Metazoa; Chordata; Mammalia; Primates; Hominidae.